Molecule: ribosomal RNA, 497 nt
Filed under: uncultured bacterium
Lineage: Bacteria
Description: partial 16S ribosomal RNA
Rfam family: Bacterial small subunit ribosomal RNA
Source: RNAcentral
GAUGAACGCUGGCGGCGUGCCUAAUACAUGCAAGUCGAGCGAACGGACGAGAAGCUUGCUUCUCUGAUGUUAGCGGCGGACGGGUGAGUAACACGUGGAUAACCUACCUAUAAGACUGGGAUAACUUCGGGAAACCGGAGCUAAUACCGGAUAAUAUUUUGAACCGCAUGGUUCAAAAGUGAAAGACGGUCUUGCUGUCACUUAUAGAUGGAUCAGCGCUGCAUUAGCUAGUUGGUAAGGUAACGGCUUACCAAGGCAACGAUGCAUAGCCGACCUGAGAGGGUGAUCGGCCACACUGGAACUGAGACACGGUCCAGACUCCUACGGGAGGCAGCAGUAGGGAAUUUUCCGCAAUGGGCGAAAGCCUGACGGAGCAACGCCGCGUGAGUGAUGAAGGUCUUCGGAUCGUAAAACUCUGUUAUUAGGGAAGAACAUAUGUGUAAGUAACUGUGCACAUCUUGACGGUACCUAAUCAGAAAGCCACGGCUAACUACGUG